UGGGGAAUAUUGCACAAUGGGCGCAAGCCUGAUGCAGCAACGCCGCGUGAGGGACGACGGCCUCCGGGUUGUAAACCUCUUUUGGCAGGGAAGAAGCGAAAGUGACGGUACCUGCAGAAAAAGCACCGGCUAACUACGUGCCAGCAGCCGCGGUAAUACGUAGGGUGCGAGCGUUAAUCGGAAUUACUGGGCGUAAAGGGUGCGCAGGCGGUCUUGCAAGUCAGAUGUGAAAGCCCCGGGCUUAACCUGGGAAUUGCGUUUGAAACUACAAGGCUAGAGUGCAGCAGAGGGGAGUGGAAUUCCAUGUGUAGCAGUGAAAUGCGUAGAGAUGUGGAAGAACACCGAUGGCGAAGGCAGCUCCCUGGGUUGACACUGACGCUCAUGCACGAAAGCGUGGGGAGCAAAC
This 406-nucleotide ribosomal RNA is filed under the name uncultured bacterium. Its description in RNAcentral is "bacterial SSU rRNA". It matches the Rfam family "Bacterial small subunit ribosomal RNA", at positions 355 to 773 of the family's 1533-position model. The record is from RNAcentral.